This 142-nucleotide ribosomal RNA is filed under the name Plantago ovata (blond plantain). Its description in RNAcentral is "partial 18S ribosomal RNA". It matches the Rfam family "Eukaryotic small subunit ribosomal RNA", at positions 1684 to 1823 of the family's 1831-position model. The record is from RNAcentral. Lineage: Eukaryota; Viridiplantae; Streptophyta; Magnoliopsida; Lamiales; Plantaginaceae.
ACGAAUUCAUGGUCCGGUGAAGUGUUCGGAUCUCGGCGAAGUGGGCGGUUCGCUGCCCGCGAGUCGCGAGAAGUCCACUGAACCUUAUCAUUUAGAGGAAGGAGAAGUCGUAACAAGGUUUCCGUAGGUGAACCUGCGGAAG